UCAAUUGGUAAAAUAAGGGUAUUAACUACUACGAAAUCUGCACGAUCUCAAGCCGCACUCUAAGACGCAAACUAAGACAUCCAACGCGGAUGUCAAUUAUUCAUAUACUCAUAGACAGGGAGUAUAAAGUAUAAUAAAUAUAUUACUAGGAAGAUCAAGGACAGUCUUUAGUAAGGUAUAGCAAACAAGUAACCGAGGCGUGGUCGGGCCUAUUGUAUAUAAAUCAGAGCACUCGCUAAACAGAUAUCACUUGUAAAAGCUCUUCCAAGCAACUCAAUAACCAUGCUCUUCAGACUGUUCGCUUUCCUCGCUCUGGUCGCCGUGGCUUUCGCCAGCCCCGAACCUAAGCCUGAUCCUCAAGUCGUGGCCUACGGCGCUGGAUUUGUACCAGCUACCUACCCUUACUAUGCCGGUUACGCCGCUGCCGCUCCCUACGCCGCCUUCCCUUAUGCCUACAACAGAUAUUUCUACCGCUAAGCUAACAUAAGGUCACGUUAAUUGGGUAUCUUAAAAAUUAUUGUAAAAAUUAUUUUAAUUUUGUACAAGAAAUUUAAAAUACCCAUGUUGUGUGACAUUUACCGACUUUACGCUAGAUCAAUGAUAUAGAUAUGCCUACUGUUUAAAUAAAAAUUUUAUGCAUA
Molecule: long non-coding RNA, 641 nt
Organism: Melitaea cinxia (Glanville fritillary)
Lineage: Eukaryota; Metazoa; Arthropoda; Insecta; Lepidoptera; Nymphalidae
Exons: 2
Source: RefSeq, a predicted model, not a curated record